UGGGCGUAAAGCGCGUGCAGGGGGUUUCUUAAGUCUGAGGUAAAAGGCAGUGGCUCAACCAUGGUAUGCAUUGGAAACUGGGAGACUUUGGUGCAGGAUAUGAGAGUGGACAUCCAUGUGGAGCGGUGCAAUGUGGAUGUACAUGGAGGCACAGCGGUGGCGAAAGAGGAUCUCUGGCCUGUAAAUGACACUGAGGCUCGCAAGCGUGGGGAGCAAACAGGAUUAGAAACCCCUGUAGUCC
RNAcentral lists this ribosomal RNA (241 nucleotides) under Escherichia coli. Its description in RNAcentral is "partial 16S ribosomal RNA". It matches the Rfam family "Bacterial small subunit ribosomal RNA", at positions 555 to 796 of the family's 1533-position model. Lineage: Bacteria; Pseudomonadati; Pseudomonadota; Gammaproteobacteria; Enterobacterales; Enterobacteriaceae. The record is from RNAcentral.